This 258-nucleotide long non-coding RNA is filed under the name Salvia miltiorrhiza (redroot sage). RNAcentral describes it as "long non-coding RNA (SMIL_LNC002544)". Lineage: Eukaryota; Viridiplantae; Streptophyta; Magnoliopsida; Lamiales; Lamiaceae. The record is from RNAcentral.
UUGAGGCCCUAAGGAUUAUUUACAUGCUUAUAAAUAGAGACUUAGUAGUAGGUUAGAGGGCAUCAUCUCAUUUUUACUCAUUCAUCUCUUGUAAAAUGUAACUCUCUCGAUUAUAGUGGAAAAACCCCCCAAAACCCCCGUGGACGUAGGUCUUCUCGACCGAACCACGUAAAUCCGGUAUCGUUUACUACUCGUUUACAACUUUCUAGAUUAGGUGUUGGUUUCUCAAUUCACCAUUUACAAUAAAAGAGAACGCAC